CAACUAUUAACUACUAACUUUUCCUCCCCACUGAAAGUGCUUUACAACCCUAGAGCCUUCUUCACACACGCGGCAUGGCUGCAUCAGGGUUUCCCCCAUUGUGCAAUAUUCCCCA
RNAcentral lists this ribosomal RNA (115 nucleotides) under uncultured bacterium. Its description in RNAcentral is "partial 16S ribosomal RNA". The record is from RNAcentral.